AUGAAAUGUAACAAUUAUUUUAUUUUUAGUGUUGGCAUUACUGCAUUGUGUCAUUUUGCUUUUCUUACACAGAUCGUCCCAUGCAAUGUGAGGUUGAAAUUCAACAAGCUGACAGGAGACACUGUGACAUUUGAGGCUCCUGGGGGGCCGUACACUAUGGAGGUCGAGAAAGGACGCAAUAUGUCGCAGAUUGGAGGAGAUGGAUGGGCCCGUUUCCUCGCUCGUAUGCGUCUUACUGGUGGUGAGUUGAUCAGAUUCUCCUUCAGAGCAGAAAGACCCAAACUGGUUGUCAUUUAUAUCAACCUGGUGGAAGAUGAUGAAGAUGAUGAAGAUAAUGAGGACCCACUCAAUGAAGAUGAUGAGAACCCACUUCAUGAAGCCAUCAUAGCUCAAAGAAUGAGGCUGAGCGAGGAGGAGGUGUGCAACCUAUGGGACAUAAUUCCGCCACGUGAUGACUUUGUCGGGGUGCCAUUCGUGACCCGCCUGACAAGUACCAUGGUCGAUCGGCAUGAAAUGGUAUGUUAUACGUAUAUGCUUAGUGAAUCCGAUGAUAUGCUUAGUGUAGAGUCCAAUGAUAUGCUUUGUGGAAUCUAG
Molecule: ribosomal RNA, 594 nt
Filed under: Triticum aestivum (bread wheat)
Lineage: Eukaryota; Viridiplantae; Streptophyta; Magnoliopsida; Poales; Poaceae
Description: partial small subunit ribosomal RNA
Source: RNAcentral